UGUAACAGCCUGUGCCAGUUUUCCUGUCCACCCCUUGGGGUGUGUUCGGUCGAGAGCUGGCAGUCCGUUCGUGACCAUGGAGCCGUCUUGAGCAGUGGACGUCAAUAUCCGAACGACAGGCUGCAGAGCAAGUCGGCGCGUUGCUGGAAGCCUGAGUUCGCCGGAAGGUUUGAGCUCGGUGGAAGGCGCGUGCCAGGCAGACUGAUUCCUGUUCCCUUUUGCUAGACCGUCGGUCCAUGACGCUUGGGACAAACCCAGUUGGCUACAUAU
This 270-nucleotide small RNA is filed under the name Ascochyta rabiei. RNAcentral's name for it is "Didymella rabiei A. fumigatus sRNA Afu_309". It matches the Rfam family "A. fumigatus sRNA Afu_309". The record is from Rfam by way of RNAcentral. Lineage: Eukaryota; Fungi; Ascomycota; Dothideomycetes; Pleosporales; Didymellaceae.